CUCUCCCUAUUGGUACCUCCGAGUUUGAUGCAUAUAAUGAAAGUAACAACGAAAGUGCUGCAAUAAUAAAAUUACGAUGCCUCCCCAACGGCUCUCCCGCCUUGCCGAAUUUGAAUACGCCAUCUGCUUCCCGUGCCAAGGAUGGUGGUGGCCCUUUGACUCUGUUGUUCCCAUCUGGGCAGCGGCAUAAUGUGGCGGUUGUAGUGGUGCUGAGCGGUGGCUUUGCGAAGGGGGGCUUUUGCAAACAGAAAAAUGAGGCCUUAUCGGAAUGGGGAGGAAGGACCAACGGUCGUUGGCAUCGCCCUUGAGAAAUGGGAAAAAAGUUCAGAGGGCUAGUCGAUUGGCCUCUGGUUUUGGGGGUGCCCACAACAGGGUCGCUCGUGGGUGUGGGGAAGAGGAUAUUGCUGCUAGGGCAACAGUAAAUUUGGAUGCAGAUACAGUCAAGGAGGUUUUUGAAAAAUGAAAAAUAUUUUGCUAAGAGGGGUUUGAUAGGGAGGUUUCAAGGAUUUUGGUAAAGUCUUGGAGAUCUUCACAAGUGGAUUUUUGAGACCCGGUGCCUGUUAUGGAGGGUAAUGUGCAGAUCUACCCAGGAGCUCGAGGCUUCUUUGUGGUUAUCUUUGACAAGGUGGAAGAUAGGAAUAAAAUCUUCUGCACUUCACCCUGGAGCUGGGAGGAGAAAGGAGAAACAAACUCUGCUGCUCAAACCUUGGUAUCUAGCAUUUAACCCAAUUACCAAAUCUUUUGAUCGGAUUCUGAUUUGGUCAAUAGAUUAUGAAGGUAUCCCUUUUAGAUGCAGGAAAUGCUUCCAAACUGGGCAUAUAGCAGCCAAAUGUGAAAAGCGAAAUAACAAUAGGAGAGCCUCUUGGUGGAAGGAUGGAUGUCUCCCUUCAUCAUUAUUCAAUGGAGAAGGAUGUAGGGAACAUCCAAAAAGUGAUUACAGACAAUGAAUCAUCUAUGGAUGGACAAGAGAAAUCAUAUUUAAAUGCCUUGAACUAGGAGAUUGGCAUAGGCAAAAAGGAUAAACAGUUUUCAGAAUCCUCACCUCCAAACCCUGGAAGAGUUGCAAAAACAAAUCGACAAGAAGUAUUGAACCCAAAGGCGAGGACCGGAACAGGCUCUUCAAGCAGGAGUGAGGACACCAUCAACGAUGAGGUGUUGAGCAUGGGACAAUGGCAAGAAGUUAGAAGAAAAAAAGAAAGGAAGGUCCCAAAGAAGACUCUUUCCAACCCAGGUUCGGAAUAGUUACAAUUUUUGGGGAUGGUCUCCGCUUUGGCUGGAUAGCUGACUGGGGCCACUGCCAUAUUUUCAAGCUGGAUCAAGCUAAUUUUAGAAAUUUCAAUCUCUGUUUGAGGUUUUUUAUUUUUCUAUAUCAUUUUAUCUAUGGCUAUAUGAUUAAGUUCUGGUUUAUUGCUUGGAACCCUCUAGGUUGAGCUAUUAUAUGUAAUUUUCUACAGUUGACAAUGUUCUGGAUAACAGUUCAGAUCAUGUUGAUUUGAAAAUGUCUAAUGAUGAAGAUAAAGAUUAGAGAUCCAAGUCAGUUUGCAUAUGGUGGCUAAAAUUGCUUCGUGGUUUGCCAUCAUCCUGGUCUACAAGGACCUUUUUUUGUUUAAAUUAUGUGUAAAAAAAAACUUUUUUUAUUAAUAUAAAUCUGUUGACUCUGCC
Cryptomeria japonica (Japanese cedar) is the source of this 1662-nucleotide long non-coding RNA. RefSeq lists it as uncharacterized. NCBI's taxonomy places the organism in Eukaryota, Viridiplantae, Streptophyta, Pinopsida, Cupressales, Cupressaceae. The transcript has 2 exons. The record is from RefSeq and is a predicted model, not a curated record.